GAUGAACGCUGGCGGCGUGCUUAACACAUGCAAGUCGAACGAAGCACUUAAGAUUGCUUCUUCGGAUGACGUCUUUUGUGACUUAGUGGCGGACGGGUGAGUAACGCGUGGGUAACCUGCCUCACACAGGGGGAUAACAGUUAGAAAUGACUGCUAAUACCGCAUAACCCGAUAGGAUCGCAUGAUCCAGACGGAAAAGAUUUAUCGGUGUGAGAUGGACCCGCGUCUGAUUAGCUAGUUGGUGAGGUAACGGCCCACCAAGGCGACGAUCAGUAGCCGGCCUGAGAGGGUGAACGGCCACAUUGGGACUGAGACACGGCCCAAACUCCUACGGGAGGCAGCAGUGGGGAAUAUUGCACAAUGGGGGAAACCCUGAUGCAGCGACGCCGCGUGAGUGAAGAAGUAUUUCGGUAUGUAAAGCUCUAUCAGCAGGGAAGAAAAUGACGGUACCUGACUAAGAAGCCCCGGCUGACUACGUG
This 479-nucleotide ribosomal RNA is filed under the name uncultured bacterium. RNAcentral describes it as "partial 16S ribosomal RNA". It matches the Rfam family "Bacterial small subunit ribosomal RNA", at positions 28 to 507 of the family's 1533-position model. The record is from RNAcentral.